GCUGGGCGUGGUGGCGCACACCUGUAAUCCCAGCUACUCAGGAGGCUGAGGCAGGAGAAUUGCUUGAACCUGGGAGGCGGAGGUUACAGUGAGCUGAGAUCAUGCCACUGCACUCCAGCCUGGGUGACAGAGAGACCCUGUCUCAAAACACACACACACCACAUAAUAAUAUGGUUUCUUUUUUUUUUUUUGAGACAGUCUCGCUCUGUCGCCCAGGUUAGAGUGCAGUGGCACGAUCUUGGCUCACUGCAAGCUCCGCCUCCCAGGUUCACGCCAUUCUCCUGCCUCAG
RNAcentral lists this signal recognition particle RNA (290 nucleotides) under Pongo abelii (Sumatran orangutan). RNAcentral's name for it is "Metazoan signal recognition particle RNA (ENSPPYG00000037526.1)". It matches the Rfam family "Metazoan signal recognition particle RNA". From Rfam's summary of the family: The signal recognition particle (SRP) is a universally conserved ribonucleoprotein. It is involved in the co-translational targeting of proteins to membranes. The record is from RNAcentral. Lineage: Eukaryota; Metazoa; Chordata; Mammalia; Primates; Hominidae.